RNAcentral lists this transfer RNA (78 nucleotides) under Mesorhizobium sp. J18. RNAcentral's name for it is "tRNA-Arg". It matches the Rfam family "tRNA". Rfam says of the family: Transfer RNA (tRNA) molecules are approximately 80 nucleotides in length. Their secondary structure includes four short double-helical elements and three loops (D, anti-codon, and T loops). Further hydrogen bonds mediate the characteristic L-shaped molecular structure. tRNAs have two regions of fundamental functional importance: the anti-codon, which is responsible for specific mRNA codon recognition, and the 3' end, to which the tRNAs corresponding amino acid is attached (by aminoacyl-tRNA synthetases). tRNAs cope with the degeneracy of the genetic code in two manners: having more than one tRNA (with a specific anti-codon) for a particular amino acid; and 'wobble' base-pairing, i.e. permitting non-standard base-pairing at the 3rd anti-codon position. Lineage: Bacteria; Pseudomonadati; Pseudomonadota; Alphaproteobacteria; Hyphomicrobiales; Phyllobacteriaceae. The record is from RNAcentral.
GCGCUCGUAGCUCAAGCUGGAUAGAGCACCAGACUUCGGAUCUGGGGGUUGUAGGUUCGAACCCUGCCGAGCGCACCA